This is a non-coding RNA of Peromyscus maniculatus bairdii (prairie deer mouse), 1387 nucleotides long. Lineage: Eukaryota; Metazoa; Chordata; Mammalia; Rodentia; Cricetidae. The record is from RefSeq and is a predicted model, not a curated record.
UAAGGGGGAUACAAACGUGUUUUCCUCAGGUGAAUCUCUUUCCCUUUCUCCAGAAGCCCGUGUUGUGUCGAGGAACAGUAACUGCCGCUUUCUGGAGUGGCUGCUAGUGUCACAGGUGCUAACAUUCCCGUUACCUCAGGACAAACCUUCUGUUAUACAGUGCAUUCCACAUCCGUUCCUGCUCUAACUCUGACCUCUUCCACAGAAACCCAUCUCAGCACCUGACUCUUACAUCUUGGCCCAAAACUAUCUGAAAUACACUUUGGUCCUUCAUCUCACCGUGAAAGCAGAUGGACCACUGACUUGUGCUUCAUAGAUGGCCUAGGUUUCCUUCUGUCUUCUAAGAAGUUUUUGAUUUAAGUAACAGCCUGGAGAUAGAAUAUUAAAAGCUCAGAUUAUCAUCCUCAUCGGACAUGAAGACCUACCACUGCCUCAUUGAAGAUGUUGAUGGAGCUGGGGACUGAUCUGUACGCAUGGCAUAUUAACAGUUUGGAUGCAGGAUUUUGAUAUGGAUUGAAAAGAUUGCCAUCAAGCACAGUUGCAGGAUGAAGUGAGAGCAAAGAAAUACUACUCUGUUGGUAUCAAGUACCAAAUCAAGUUCUUCCCACUGCACUGGACCGUCUAAAGGGAAUGUGGACUUUUCUCCUGUAGAGUUAUUUCUCAUGGUGUUAGUUAUUAUCAGAACACUGGGCAAAACUGCAAAGAUGGCACAAUUUAAAUCUUCCUAAUUUCUCAAUGAACUUCUGGUUUCCUCUUUGACCUGCUUUCCAGAGAUCCUGGUCAGAACAUCACCAAGACACUAGUGAGGUAGGGUACCAUAAAGGAAAUGCAACAGGGAAGAUGUUUUAGUCAGGGUAUCCUCUUCUGUGAUAAAACACCUUGACCAAAAGCAAUGUGAGGAGGAAAGGGUUUAUUUCAGCUUACAACUUUCAGGUCACAGUUUAUCACUGAGCGAAGUCAGAAGAGCAGGCAGAGGUUGAUGCGAGGCUAUGGAGGAAGCCUACUGAUUGACUUCUCCUCAUGGUAUGUUUAUCCUGUUUUCUUAUAGCACCUAUUACUACACACCCAAUGGUGAUACUGCCCCCCCUGUGAGAUGGGCCCAACACCAUCAAUCAAUCAGUGAAAAAAAAAAAAACUAAACCAAAUCAACCAAUUAACCAACCAAACAAACCAGGAAACAAAACCCCACAGACUUACCACAGGCCAAAAUGGUGGGGAAAUUUUCUCAAUUGAGAAUACUUCUUCCCAAAUGACUGUGGCAAGUUUACAUACAAACUAGCCAUCACAGAAGUCACCAAGCAAGUGAGAGAUUUUAAGAGUUAUGUUAAGUAUAGACAUCUCAUCCUACAAUUUUGACUCUAUCCACAACCCAUUUCAAUUUACAUAA